GACGUAGGGGGCCAGCGUUGUUCGGAAUUACUGGGUGUAAAGGGUUCGUAGGCGGUGUGGCAAGUCGGGAGUGAAAUCUCUGGGCUCAACCCAGAGUCUGCUUCCGAAACUGCUGUGCUUGAGUGUGGGAGAGGCGCGUGGAAUUGCAGGUGUAGCGGUGAAAUGCGUAGAUAUCUGGAGGAACACCGGUGGCGAAGGCGGCUCACUGGCUCAUUUCUGACGCUCAGGCGCGACAGCGUGGGGAUCAAACAGG
Molecule: ribosomal RNA, 253 nt
Filed under: uncultured bacterium
Lineage: Bacteria
Description: partial 16S ribosomal RNA
Rfam family: Bacterial small subunit ribosomal RNA
Source: RNAcentral